RNAcentral lists this ribosomal RNA (253 nucleotides) under uncultured bacterium. RNAcentral describes it as "partial 16S ribosomal RNA". It matches the Rfam family "Bacterial small subunit ribosomal RNA", at positions 524 to 776 of the family's 1533-position model. The record is from RNAcentral.
GACGUAGGGGGCAAGCGUUGCUCGGAAUUACUGGGCUUAAAGCGCGCGGAGGCGGCUUUAUAAGACAGAGGUGAAAUCCCCCAGCUCAACCGUGGAACUGCAUUGGUGACUACAAGGCUUGAGUACGGCAGAGGGGGGUGGAAUUCCGGGUGUAGCAGUGAAAUGCGUAGAUAUCGGGAGGAAGGCCGAUGGCGAAAGCAGGCCUCUGGGCCUGUACUGACGCUGAGGCGCGAAAGCGUGGGGAGCAAACAGG